CGAAAGCCUGACGGAGCAAGACCGCGUGGGGGAUGAAGGCUCUUGGGUUGUAAACCCCUUUUCUCAGGGAAGAAGAUCUGACGGUACCUGAGGAAUCAGCAUCGGCUAACUCCGUGCCAGCAGCAGCGGUAAGACGGAGGAUGCAAGCGUUAUCCGGAAUUAUUGGGCGUAAAGCGUUCGUAGGUGGCUGUUCAAGUCUGCCGUUAAAGACCGGGGCUUAACUCCGGAAAAACUGUGGAAACUGAACAGCUAGAGUAGGGUAGGGGUAAGGGGAAUUCCCGGUGUAGCGGUGAAAUGCGUAGAUAUCGGGAAGAACACCGGUGGCGGAAGCGCUCUGCUGGACUGCAACUGACAUUGAGGGACGAAAGCUAGGGGAGCG
Molecule: ribosomal RNA, 379 nt
Filed under: uncultured Oscillatoria sp.
Lineage: Bacteria; Bacillati; Cyanobacteriota; Cyanophyceae; Oscillatoriales; Oscillatoriaceae
Description: bacterial SSU rRNA
Rfam family: Bacterial small subunit ribosomal RNA
Source: RNAcentral